This 656-nucleotide ribosomal RNA is filed under the name Escherichia coli. Its description in RNAcentral is "partial 23S ribosomal RNA". It matches the Rfam family "Bacterial large subunit ribosomal RNA", at positions 612 to 1268 of the family's 2925-position model. The record is from RNAcentral. Lineage: Bacteria; Pseudomonadati; Pseudomonadota; Gammaproteobacteria; Enterobacterales; Enterobacteriaceae.
AUAAUGGGUCAGCGACUUAUAUUCUGUAGCAAGGUUAACCGAAUAGGGGAGCCGAAGGGAAACCGAGUCUUAACUGGGCGUUAAGUUGCAGGGUAUAGACCCGAAACCCGGUGAUCUAGCCAUGGGCAGGUUGAAGGUUGGGUAACACUAACUGGAGGACCGAACCGACUAAUGUUGAAAAAUUAGCGGAUGACUUGUGGCUGGGGGUGAAAGGCCAAUCAAACCGGGAGAUAGCUGGUUCUCCCCGAAAGCUAUUUAGGUAGCGCCUCGUGAAUUCAUCUCCGGGGGUAGAGCACUGUUUCGGCAAGGGGGUCAUCCCGACUUACCAACCCGAUGCAAACUGCGAAUACCGGAGAAUGUUAUCACGGGAGACACACGGCGGGUGCUAACGUCCGUCGUGAAGAGGGAAACAACCCAGACCGCCAGCUAAGGUCCCAAAGUCAUGGUUAAGUGGGAAACGAUGUGGGAAGGCCCAGACAGCCAGGAUGUUGGCUUAGAAGCAGCCAUCAUUUAAAGAAAGCGUAAUAGCUCACUGGUCGAGUCGGCCUGCGCGGAAGAUGUAACGGGGCUAAACCAUGCACCGAAGCUGCGGCAGCGACACUGUGUGUUGUUGGGUAGGGGAGCGUUCUGUAAGCCUGCGAAGGUGUGCUGUGAGG